AUACGGAGGGGGUUAGCGUUGUUCGGAAUUACUGGGCGUAAAGCGUACGUAGGCGGACUGGAAAGUUGGGGGUGAAAUCCCGGGGCUCAAUCCCGGAACUGCCUCCAAAACUUCCAAUCUAGAGAUCGAGAGAGGUGAGUGGAAUUCCAUGUGUAGAGGUGAAAUGCGUAGAUAUUUGGAGGAACACCAGUGGCGAAGGCGGCUCACUGGCUCGAUACUGACGCUGAGGUACGAAAGCGUGGGGAGCAAACAGGAUUAGAAACCCGAGUAGUCC
Molecule: ribosomal RNA, 274 nt
Filed under: uncultured bacterium
Lineage: Bacteria
Description: partial 16S ribosomal RNA
Rfam family: Bacterial small subunit ribosomal RNA
Source: RNAcentral